This 1534-nucleotide ribosomal RNA is filed under the name Streptococcus pneumoniae. RNAcentral describes it as "bacterial SSU rRNA". It matches the Rfam family "Bacterial small subunit ribosomal RNA". Lineage: Bacteria; Bacillati; Bacillota; Bacilli; Lactobacillales; Streptococcaceae. The record is from RNAcentral.
AGAGUUUGAUCCUGGCUCAGGACGAACGCUGGCGGCGUGCCUAAUACAUGCAAGUAGAACGCUGAAGGAGGAGCUUGCUUCUCUGGAUGAGUUGCGAACGGGUGAGUAACGCGUAGGUAACCUGCCUGGUAGCGGGGGAUAACUAUUGGAAACGAUAGCUAAUACCGCAUAAGAGUGGAUGUUGCAUGACAUUUGCUUAAAAGGUGCACUUGCAUCACUACCAGAUGGACCUGCGUUGUAUUAGCUAGUUGGUGGGGUAACGGCUCACCAAGGCGACGAUACAUAGCCGACCUGAGAGGGUGACCGGCCACACUGGGACUGAGACACGGCCCAGACUCCUACGGGAGGCAGCAGUAGGGAAUCUUCGGCAAUGGACGGAAGUCUGACCGAGCAACGCCGCGUGAGUGAAGAAGGUUUUCGGAUCGUAAAGCUCUGUUGUAAGAGAAGAAUGAGUGUGAGAGUGGAAAGUUCACACUGUGACGGUAUCUUACCAGAAAGGGACGGCUAACUACGUGCCAGCAGCCGCGGUAAUACGUAGGUCCCGAGCGUUGUCCGGAUUUAUUGGGCGUAAAGCGAGCGCAGGCGGUUAGAUAAGUCUGAAGUUAAAGGCUGUGGCUUAACCAUAGUAGGCUUUGGAAACUGUUUAACUUGAGUGCAAGAGGGGAGAGUGGAAUUCCAUGUGUAGCGGUGAAAUGCGUAGAUAUAUGGAGGAACACCGGUGGCGAAAGCGGCUCUCUGGCUUGUAACUGACGCUGAGGCUCGAAAGCGUGGGGAGCAAACAGGAUUAGAUACCCUGGUAGUCCACGCUGUAAACGAUGAGUGCUAGGUGUUAGACCCUUUCCGGGGUUUAGUGCCGUAGCUAACGCAUUAAGCACUCCGCCUGGGGAGUACGACCGCAAGGUUGAAACUCAAAGGAAUUGACGGGGGCCCGCACAAGCGGUCGAGCAUGUGGUUUAAUUCGAAGCAACGCGAAAAACCUUACCAGGUCUUGACAUCCCUCUGACCGCUCUAGAGAUAGAGCUUUCCUUCGGGACAGAGGUGACAGGUGGUGCAUGGUUGUCGUCAGCUCGUGUCGUGAGAUGUUGGGUUAAGUCCCGCAACGAGCGCAACCCCUAUUGUUAGUUGCCAUCAUUUAGUUGGGCACUCUAGCGAGACUGCCGGUAAUAAACCGGAGGAAGGUGGGGAUGACGUCAAAUCAUCAUGCCCCUUAUGACCUGGGCUACACACGUGCUACAAUGGCUGGUACAACGAGUCGCAAGCCGGUGACGGCAAGCUAAUCUCUUAAAGCCAGUCUCAGUUCGGAUUGUAGGCUGCAACUCGCCUACAUGAAGUCGGAAUCGCUAGUAAUCGCGGAUCAGCACGCCGCGGUGAAUACGUUCCCGGGCCUUGUACACACCGCCCGUCACACCACGAGAGUUUGUAACACCCGAAGUCGGUGAGGUAACCGUAAGGAGCCAGCCGCCUAAGGUGGGAUAGAUGAUUGGGGUGAAGUCGUAACAAGGUAGCCGUAUCGGAAGGUGCGGCUGGAUCACCU